GUGCUCACUUUGGCAGCUCAUACACUAAAAUUGGCAUGAUAACAGAGAAGAUUGGCAUGGCCCCUCAACAGGGAUCACACAAACACACACAAGAAAUAUAGGAGAUGUUU
Molecule: small nuclear RNA, 110 nt
Organism: Pteronotus mesoamericanus
Lineage: Eukaryota; Metazoa; Chordata; Mammalia; Chiroptera; Mormoopidae
Source: RefSeq, a predicted model, not a curated record